Trichomycterus rosablanca is the source of this 251-nucleotide long non-coding RNA. RefSeq lists it as uncharacterized. The transcript has 3 exons. Lineage: Eukaryota; Metazoa; Chordata; Actinopteri; Siluriformes; Trichomycteridae. The record is from RefSeq and is a predicted model, not a curated record.
UCUUUCCAGAGUUUUCCACCUACAGUCCAGCAGCCGUUUUCUCUUGCUUCUCAGAAAAAGGUGAAGCGGUCCGUUUCCUUUCUGUGUGGAGUUUGCAUGUUCUCCCCGUGUCUGCGUGGGUUUCCUCCCACAGUACAAAGACGUGCAAGUGAGGAGUAAAGGACACAAAUGAUGCAUCAUUUUAUUCAAUUUAUGCAUAUGUGUUGGUCAAAAAGCCAUGUUGGUGACUUAUGAAGUCUAUAUAUAUAAAG